AGUGAACGCUGGCGGUAGGCCUAACACAUGCAAGUCGAACGGCAGCACAGUAAGAGCUUGCUCCUACGGGUGGCGAGUGGCGGACGGGUGAGGAAUACAUCGGAAUCUACUUUUUCGUGGGGGAUAACGUAGGGAAACUUACGCUAAUACCGCAUACGACCUACGGGUGAAAGCAGGGGAUCUUCGGACCUUGCGCGAUUGAAUGAGCCGAUGUCGGAUUAGCUAGUUGGCGGGGUAAAGGCCCACCAAGGCGACGAUCCGUAGCUGGUCUGAGAGGAUGAUCAGCCACACUGGAACUGAGACACGGUCCAGACUCCUACGGGAGGCAGCAGUGGGGAAUAUUGGACAAUGGGCGCAAGCCUGAUCCGGCCAUACCGCGUGGGUGAAGAAGGCCUUCGGGUUGUAAAGCCCUUUUGUUGGGAAAGAAAAGCAGCAGGUUAAUACCCCGCUGUUCUGACGGUACCCAAAGAAUAAGCACCGGCUAACUUCGUG
This 492-nucleotide ribosomal RNA is filed under the name uncultured bacterium. Its description in RNAcentral is "partial 16S ribosomal RNA". It matches the Rfam family "Bacterial small subunit ribosomal RNA", at positions 29 to 507 of the family's 1533-position model. The record is from RNAcentral.